RNAcentral lists this long non-coding RNA (209 nucleotides) under Carica papaya (papaya). Its description in RNAcentral is "long non-coding RNA (CPAP_LNC013764)". Lineage: Eukaryota; Viridiplantae; Streptophyta; Magnoliopsida; Brassicales; Caricaceae. The record is from RNAcentral.
GCAGGUACCAGUAGUGUGUUUCAGUUCCCCAGAAAAAAUUGAGAAAAAAUUAGGGACAGCCUGUAGGCGCACUGUAGAGCCGUAUUCAGACCCCGAAACAAGUAAGGACCCUUCACCCUAUUUCCUAUCACGGUAUUAAAGCUAAAUAAAUAAUUAAACUGUACUUUGUGACUUUAUAGAUGUAUAAUUGAUUAAGGUUGCCAAUGGAG